Molecule: long non-coding RNA, 1007 nt
Filed under: Taeniopygia guttata (zebra finch)
Lineage: Eukaryota; Metazoa; Chordata; Aves; Passeriformes; Estrildidae
Description: lncRNA (ENSTGUG00000026677.1)
Source: RNAcentral
CGACAAACAAGAGACACCCAAGCCCCUAGACACUCCGCCGCCUCCUGGGAGGCGGGAACGGGGUGAGGAGGAGCGCCCGGGCCGGGCUGUCCGGGAUUCGGGAGCGGGAUGAGGAGGAUUGCCCGGGCCGGGCUGUCCGGGAUUCGGGAGCGGGAUGAGGAGGAGCGCCCGGGCCGGGCUGUCCGGGAUUCGGGCGCGGGAUGAGGAGGAGCGCCCGGGCCGGGCUGUCCGGGAUUCGGGAGCGGGGUCUCAACACUUGUAGAGACUCAGAGUGCACUCCAGAGGGGUUUCAAACGAGAUGGCUCCAAUUUGGCAAGAAGGAAGGACGGGUGUUUGCACACAGGCCACCCUCAAAAUCAGCAGUACUAAACUCAAAAAUCAGGAGCAGCUGAAGGAAGAAAAUGGAUUAGAGGCAAUUGAAGCAAUUACAAGUGUACGAUACAAUGCAAAGCCCUCUCGAAAGCCAGUCCUCUGUAACCACUAGCCCACAACACCCCACCCCAGAAAGAUUGGUGUUCAUGACUCAGAUGUAAAUAUGAACACAUACAGACACAAAAAAUGGUUUUGCUAAACCCCCUUGUCAUGCCUGCCCAGAGGGCAACUAAUGAGCUGGUGUAGCUCACCUAAUGUGCUGUGCUGUGUAUGCAGAACACCAGAGGAUUCUGGUCACACACUACUGUUCCCUGCUGCUCUCCCUGAGCAGUAGCUAAGGAAAUCAAGAGGUCCCUUCCAUAUGUUUCUGGUUUACUUUUGAUAAGCUGCUUCAUUUCUAAACGUCUACUUCCACAAACGCAACCUCUACACACCUCACAAUGUGGAUUUAGAAACCUGCAAUUUAUACAAAAGCUCUGGUCUAUAAGAAGCUUUGAGCUCUGUUUUGGCUCCUCUGAACAGCAGACUUCUCCAAUCUGUUUGCAGUCAUUGAACCAUUAGUGUUUCUGAAGUGCCCAAGUAGAGCAGUGAGGAUGCAUAACAUGCAGGAUUAUACUUUCUUCCAAUUUUUAGCA